Non-coding RNA from Cyanistes caeruleus (blue tit), 1862 nucleotides. The record is from RefSeq and is a predicted model, not a curated record. NCBI's taxonomy places the organism in Eukaryota, Metazoa, Chordata, Aves, Passeriformes, Paridae.
GCGGAGGCUCUGACGGUGUCCCGGGAGCGAUUCCCUGUGGGGAGCGGAGGCAGCCGCGGCUGUGUCCCCGCUGAAGUGAUUGUCAGGCAGUAUAGGUCAUGGGUGUUAAGCAAAGUGUUCUCCCGGCCCUGUCUGCCUGUGCUCCGAAGGUUGUCGUCUCCUCACAGACUUACCUUGUGGGCCGCUCCACAGCUGGGGAGCCCUGUUUUGUCCCUGCGGUUAUGGAGCUUCUUUGGCACUCUCGCCGUGUUAUCUGGAGCAUCCCUUUUGGGAAGUCUCCUCUUAUCCCUGCCAUGUGGAUGGGCCCCAGGUGAAGGCCAGCCACUUCUGCUGUGCUUGUAGUGAGAGGUCAAGAGGCCUUAAGCUGAGGCAGAAUAUCUACUGAGAGGCCUUAAAAAUUUGGGGAACUAGCACUUGGCACAUUGUCAACAGGGAGAAGAGGCAGUGAAGAGAUCUUUAGAGGAUUCCAGAUGUGUGCCCUUAUGGAGAGAACAUUUUGCCUCUGUUGGAGGGUGAAAGUAGCUGUGUGGAUAAGCUAUAAGGAGGACUUGUGGAGAAAUGCAAGUACAGUACUCCUGCUAUGCUGACUGAGGGUGAAGGCAUGGCUGGUCCCUCGCUGUGUGCUGCCGCCACCGCGGCCUCCCCGGAUCUGCACAGGGUGCCCAGCUUUGGAGAGAGUAAAACCACACAGUGCUCCUUUUCAAUUGAGAGUAUAUUGGGACUGGAGCAGAAAAAAGAUGACAUUCCAGCUGGGAAACCUCACAGACCCUGGAUGGAUGCAUGCACCAGCGUGGUUUUAGGUGAUGACAGUAAUCCCCAUCUGCAAAUCCCUGUUGUUUGCUAUGAGAAUCCAUUAUUUCAUGCUAGAAGUGAUCCAGUGCAAGAGGAAAAAGUUUUGAAAUGUGAAAAAUAUUUUUCAGUAACUGAAAGGCUGUCCUUCAAACGAGAAUUGAGCUGGUACAGGGGUAGAAGACCAAGAACUGCAUUCACUAGAAACCAGAUUGAAGUCUUGGAAAAUGUUUUUAAAAUGAACUCCUACCCCGGCAUUGAUAUUAGAGAAGAGUUAGCUCGCAAAUUAGAUUUAGAUGAAGACAGGAUCCAGAUCUGGUUCCAGAACCGUCGUGCAAAACUGAAAAGAUCACACAGAGAAUCUCAGUUUCUAAUGGUGAAAAACACUUUCACCUCCAGCCUGCUAGAGUAGAAGGAUGACUUGCUGUUACAGUACUACUACAGAAAAUGAAGAAUUACUCAUAACCUGUAUUAAAGCCUGAAGUCAAGGAGAGCCAUGUGAGGAAAAAAACCCACCCAACUCUUCAUGGCCACAAUGUAGGGAAGCACUGUAAGUACAGGUUUAUGCUGCUCUUUGUUCAGCAGAGCUCUAAGCACUUGCCUUAAGUGCUGGUGACCUUCAGUGAGACUCCAGCCUGUAUUUCUUGCUGGACAUAAAUUCUACAUUAUCUCAUGAACAGAUGCAGAAUUGCUCUUCUUUUCCUCAUGCUUGUAUCCAUAUCUGUUAUCCAAUAGGGUGAAAGGUAAGUUGAGAAAAUAGGGUGAUGGAAAUAAAUCAUUUUAUGUAGCCUCAUACUAGGAAAAGCUGAAGGAAGGGAUGAUCUGACAGUCCUUACUUAGUAUUUUGAAUUAUAGUUUGAGCUACCAGAGUUUAAAUAAAAAAUGUCUAUAUUUUCUGAAAAAUAUCACCGAAAAACUGCAUUGCUGUAGAACUGGGUGACAGAUAUUGGCCCUUCUGUGUUUUUAACUUAAUUGGCUCAUUGCCUUCACUUUUAUGGAGAACACUAAAAAUCUUGAAAUGUUUGCCUUUGCUCCUGGAAAUCUUAUUUUAAUAUGGAAAUAACAAUCUUUUA